GUCCCGUUAGUCUAAUGGAUAAGACGAUGGAUUCCGGUUCCAUUAAUGUGGGUUCGAUUCCUAUACGGGACGCCA
This 75-nucleotide transfer RNA is filed under the name Clostridiaceae bacterium. Its description in RNAcentral is "tRNA-Arg". It matches the Rfam family "tRNA". Rfam says of the family: Transfer RNA (tRNA) molecules are approximately 80 nucleotides in length. Their secondary structure includes four short double-helical elements and three loops (D, anti-codon, and T loops). The record is from RNAcentral. Lineage: Bacteria; Bacillati; Bacillota; Clostridia; Eubacteriales; Clostridiaceae.